UAGGGAAUCUUCGGCAAUGGGGGCAACCCUGACCGAGCAACGCCGCGUGAGUGAAGAAGGUUUUCGGAUCGUAAAGCUCUGUUGUAAGUCAAGAACGAGUGUGAGAGUGGAAAGUUCACACUGUGACGGUAGCUUACCAGAAAGGGACGGCUAACUACGUGCCAGCAGCCGCGGUAAUACGUAGGUCCCGAGCGUUGUCCGGAUUUAUUGGGCGUAAAGGGAACGCAGGCGGUCUUUUAAGUCUGAUGUGAAAGCCUUCGGCUUAACCGGAGUAGUGCAUUGGAAACUGGAAGACUUGAGUGCAGAAGAGGGUAGUGGAACUCCAUGUGUAGCGGUGGAAUGCGUAGAUAUAUGGAAGAACACCAGUGGCGAAGGCGGCUACCUGGUCUGCAACUGACGCUGAGACUCGAAGGCAUGGGUAGCGAACAGGAUUAGAUACCCUGGUAGUCCAUGCCGUAAACGAUGAGUGCUAGGUGUUGGAGGGUUUCCGCCCUUCAGUGCCGGAGCUAACGCAUUAAGCACUCCGCCUGGGGAGUACGACCGCAAGGUUG
RNAcentral lists this ribosomal RNA (551 nucleotides) under uncultured bacterium. RNAcentral's name for it is "bacterial SSU rRNA". It matches the Rfam family "Bacterial small subunit ribosomal RNA", at positions 355 to 896 of the family's 1533-position model. The record is from RNAcentral.